UUCUAGGCAUAAUCGAAUUCAACAUAAAAUACAUUCGUAAGGUUUAUCUAAGCAUAUCCAAGUAUUUUGAAAUAUGUGAGAUGAUUCAAUAACAGCGGCAGAUGGUGUUUAAAUUAUAAUAUAUUCAAUAGUUGUAUAUAAUGAAGUAGAGGAUUGAAUUCAAAAAUAUCACACCUCAAAACAAUUUAUGAUCUACAUCCAUAAAACCUAAUAAUGAAACAUCUGCCCUGCCUAAAGGAUGGCUUUGAUACUUUAUGACUCCCUAUCUAUCCUAAUGUAUAAAUAAGGAUUAUUCACGUAGAAUAAGGACAGUCAGUUUUCAUCAAUCUAAGAGUUGUCUCUUCGGAUCCGCGACUCUAAGAUAUCAAAUAAUAUUUAUAAAAAGAACUUGUAAUAAUUUUUUAAUAAAAAAAACUUGUAACAAUUUUGUGU
This is a long non-coding RNA of Bradysia coprophila, 432 nucleotides long. The record is from RefSeq and is a predicted model, not a curated record. Lineage: Eukaryota; Metazoa; Arthropoda; Insecta; Diptera; Sciaridae.